Molecule: ribosomal RNA, 405 nt
Filed under: uncultured bacterium
Lineage: Bacteria
Description: bacterial SSU rRNA
Rfam family: Bacterial small subunit ribosomal RNA
Source: RNAcentral
GGCGAACGGGUGAGUAACACGUGGGUGACCUGCCUUUAGCUCUGGGAUAAGCCUGGGAAACUGGGUCUAAUACCGGAUAUGACCUUCUCUCGCAUGGGGGUGGGUGGAAAGUUUUUUCGGCUAGAGAUGGGCCCGCGGCUAUCAGCUUGUUGGUGGGGUGAUGGCCUACCAAGGCGACGACGGGUAGCCGGCCUGAGAGGGCGACCGGCCACACUGGGACUGAGAUACGGCCCAGACUCCUACGGGAGGCAGCAGUGGGGAAUAUUGCGCAAUGGGCGGAAGCCUGACGCAGCGACGCCGCGUGGGGGAUGACGGCCUUCGGGUUGUAAACCACUUUUCUCUGGAGCGAGUUUUGGACGGUACCAGAGGAAGAAGUCUCGGCUAACUACGUGCCAGCCGCCGCGG